Molecule: long non-coding RNA, 4053 nt
Organism: Diceros bicornis minor
Lineage: Eukaryota; Metazoa; Chordata; Mammalia; Perissodactyla; Rhinocerotidae
Exons: 7
Source: RefSeq, a predicted model, not a curated record
CCUUUCCCCAGCCACCGCGUGGCCGCCCAGGUCCCCGCCGCCCGCGGCCUUGCUGGCGCCUGCCGGCCGCGGACCCUUAGCCCGCGAGGGGUUCCCACCUUACACCCCAGGGUUCCGGCAAGCAGUUUUGGGGGUGGGGGCCGGGUUCUGUCCAGAGCAGGCUCGGGGUCCCGGGGUGAGGGGGAUCUGGGGCCGGCUCUGCGCGGCAGGCGCCAAGAUCCCAGAGGAUGCUGCGCACCCUGAAUUAAUCGAGGAGCCUCUGGUUUUCUCCCAGAACCAGCUAGAAGCCCUGGGACCCCUCUAGGGAUGCGAAUACCACAGAUGGCGGCUGAGUAAAACGCAGUCUCAGGAUGGGAGACACCCCCCCUCCAGCACUGCAGUGUCCCUCACUGGGUGGAGCCCCCCAUGGCACGCCCUCUUCCGUGAAGGUGCUGGCUCAGGCGCCUGCGUGGCCCAGCCAGGCCUCUGCUGCCCCCCUGCGGCCCUGCAGAGAAAGCUGCCCAUCCCCGCCUGGCUGUCCCACUACUCUGUGCAGUGGCUGAAGAUGGACUUCAUCGCCAGGUUCUCUGUCGGACCAUGGUCAUUCCCUAGGUGCUGGCCUAUGCUGAGUUGGCCUGACUCCAGCCCCAGAUGCCGAGCUGCAGGACAUCUCGAAGGUGUGACCGGAUAGUAGGGCCUUCCUCUGAUGGCCAGGCCUGCAGAUGGAGGCUGACUCUCUACGAUCCCCUGCUCAGUCACCAGUGCUGACAAGCUGACCCGGGAGAGGAGCAGCAGGGAGGCGGCCUUGGUCCUUGGCCUCGUGUCUCAUUUCAGCCUCUGGACACUGUGCAAGUUCAGGUCCUUGGAAGCCCAGGCUGAUGCCUGCACGUCCCGGCCUUCACGGUGUCAGACCAGAACCUGCAGCACACACACAGGAACAUCAGUGAAGAGAUCAAGGAUAUACUGCCUUCGCCCCGUCAGUCCACUGAUCGGUUAACCACUCCAUCCAAACCAGGGAGCACCUGUCCUGGGCCUGGGCUUGUGAUGGGCCCUGUGGGAGAGAAUUACAACAAACUCCUCAUGUCCAGUGACUGUCCUGCGCCUGCUACGACCUUCGAAGGAUCCGGGAGCAUGUGCAGGAGGCUGAGAGGAAAUAGUCUCCAUGUUACCAACCCUGGGAGUGCGCUUUAAACCAGGAGUGAACAGAGGACGGGAAGGAAGGUGCGGCAGGACCUGAAGCCCUCUUCCUCAGUCUCCGAAGCAGCAGGUGUAGCCCGAUGCUCCGGGAACCCUCUCCCAUUGGCCCCAGCCUGAGUGAUGUUCCCACCUGGAGGGUCCUCACCCUCACCACUGGAGUCACCCCUCCUGUCGGCAAUCCAACCUCUAGAGACACAAACAUCCACAAGAAAGUGAUGAGAGAGAGGGGCUCACCCAGCCCUCCUGCUUCAGGUGAGGCCCUGCUGGCUCAUGCAGCAUCACCCUGCGCACUGCUCUGGGCUCUAGACCUCCCAUGGGCUCUGUGCAGACAGAGCCCUUCAAGGAGACAUUGGUCACAGGUGCAAACCCUCAAAUGAGAGAGAGGACACACCCCCAACUCGUGUCCUCAGUCCCCCGGGUCAUGACAGCUCAGGUCCCCAUGUGAUAAACCUGAACGUCCAGCUGUGAGGCACACGCUGUGGGUUAAAUGAGCUCAGUGAACAGACCCUGGGCCAGGCUCAGAGAGCUGCCCAAGAGAAUGUUCCGUGAGGAUGGAAAUGUUCUGUGUUGUAGCCGUGCGGCUGCUGGGCACUUGAAAUGCGGCUGUGACGAGGAACCAACGCUUCAUUUGAUGUCCUCGAAUAGGUUAAACACGAGCACGCACGUCCCCCUGGAGGCGACCACACUGGAUAGCGUGGCUCUGGAAUCUGCAGACGAAGACCGUACCACCUCCCUCCCCUCCCCGCUCCUGCAGAGCAGUUUGUGGCCCGAUCUGACCAUUCACUUGUAGGUUCUUCCUGGACACGUGCACAAGGGCCAGGCACCACCUGAGGCCCUGGGGACACUCAAACGGUAAGGUCAACACCAGGUCCCAGAGGAGUCCCAGCAGGGGCCACCUGUAAGCAAAGGGGCAGAGUGAGGCCAGGCCCACCUGUGCUGGACAGAAUCAGACAGCGGGGUCAUGGGGAGGGAGGGACACUGCACUGUCUUCAGGAGCCCCCUUCUCCCCCCUGCUCUGGAUUAGGGCCUGGGCAGGCACCUGGCUCAGUGUUGGGGCCCUACAGGCCUGGACCAGCUGAGGGGAACCAUUUCCACACCUGGACCAGAUCCCAGCCCAGGGCUGUAGUCAUCAGAUGUUUACUGGGGCCUGAGAGGGGUUGUCCAGAGCUGAGCACUGGGGUGAGGAGGGAUGAGGAAGACACAGGGUGCCUGUGCAGCGACCACCAUGGCCAGGGCUCCUGUCCCCACGAGUAAGAGGACACAGAUAGAGUCCGGGCCUGAGAAUUCCAAGACCUUCCAGAGAAACUCUCACUGAUGACCUCCAGGCCAUGAAAGGGAGCAGCAAGGACCACUUCGACCUCAGAUCAGCCCCCAUCUCUUUGCUGAGCUCACCCUGCACUGGAGCCCAUGCCCCUCUCACCUCCUCUGCUACUAGAAUGUUCUGCAGCAGCCCUGGCCACGUGGUGUGAGAUCUCUUCAGUUUAAAUGUGUUUCUGGGCUAGACAACGCUUGGCCAACAGUGUGUAGACAAGGUCUGGUUGACAGGUGACUUCCAGAAGCAGGUGAAAAACAGAAACUGGUCCCUCCUGGCUCCAGGAGAACAGGCCUGGGAGCCUCCUUGUGUCUGGCCCCAUCAUGUGUCUGUCCCUGCUGACCCAGCGCCUGGCCAGUCCCAGCUGGAACCCAGAAUCAGGCCGCUCUCCACUCUAAAGCCAGUGUGUUUUUUCCUCAGCAAGUGAGUGAUUCCAGAACACACCCCACUUUUUUGUUUGCUUGUUCCUGAGGCCACCUGCGAUGAGAGAGGAGAAAACGCUGGGAAUGAGAUGACGAUGGUGUUGUCUGCACAGCUCUUCAGUUCUCUUGGUGAUGUUGGGAAACCACCUGGGAGACCAGGGUAGAGUCAAAGGCCCAAAAGCAAGAGCAGAGGACGCCUGUGGGAAAGGCAGGAGCUUCUCGCAGAGGGGGUGUCUCCAGUCCCUUCUGGUUGGCCAUGGCAAAGUCCUUAACCCAAGGAGGAAAACUGCUCCUGAGCGAAAGGCUCAUACAGCUGAUAACUGACGCUGUCAUUCGGAGAUGUCCUUGUGGACCAGGCGUCAGCUAGUGAGAGACUCGCUCAGCAGCCCCCCCAUGGACAUUGUAGGUGUGAUCCCUAACGUACACCGUCAGGCUUUCACACGUGCAUUUGAAAAGGAAAGAAACCAAGAACCAGCAUUUCUGUCAGACACAGAAAGCGACCUUACCUUGGCAACAGAUGGCGCCUCUUGCUCUGCCCUGUCGCGGGGAAGCUCCUCCAGCAGGCCCUCAGGGGUGCGGGAGGAGACAGGCACUGCCAGUCGGGGGUGGUCAGCUCAGGAGUUACGCAGGGAGCUCUGCAGGACGUGGACGCAGGGCUGAUGCGUAUGGAGGGGGUCGGUCAUCAAGCACAGACUGAGCUGCUGCUGGGCCGUCCUCCUUGGUGGAUGAAGGAGGGGAAAGGAGGGGAGCAGGAAAGAAAUGGGAAAUAGAGUCCUUGGCUUAAUAGCCAAAGGUAACGUACAGCAACGAGAAUGAGUCAGUCUACGCCGGGUUCUCAGCCACACGCUGUGAUCCAGUGGCAGAGUCCCAUCGCCCCUCCCGCCUGUGGUGAUCUUCUUGACCUCUCCCCAGACCACUUCAGUCUCCACGGAUCUGCUGCUGCUGCUUUUAUCAUCUGUUGUGUGGGGUUUCACACUUGAUUAAAAGCAAACUUUUAUUGGUGGAAUAGAUUUAAUUACAGGGAACACCUUCUGUUGUACUUGUUCACUCAUCCUUUGUCAUAAAGAUAAUCAAAUAUGGAAGACAUUUGAUGAAAAUACUGAAAUACUGCCAUUUAAAAUAAGCUUUAUUAGUCAUAUGCUA